GAUGAACGCUAGCGACAGGCUUAACACAUGCAAGUCGAGGGGCAUCGGGGUUGUAGCUUGCUAUAACUGCCGGCGACCGGCGCACGGGUGAGUAACACGUAUGCAACCUGCCCGUUGCAGGGGGAUAAGCGGAAGAAAUUCCGUCUAAUACCGCGUAAUAUGGGCGAUAGGCAUCUAUCAUUCAUUAAAGAUUUAUCGGCAACGGAUGGGCAUGCGGUGCAUUAGCUAGUUGGCGGGGUAACGGCCCACCAAGGCGACGAUGCAUAGGGGUUCUGAGAGGAAGGUCCCCCACACUGGAACUGAGACACGGUCCAGACUCCUACGGGAGGCAGCAGUGAGGAAUAUUGGUCAAUGGUCGAGAGACUGAACCAGCCAUGCCGCGUGAAGGAGACGGCCCUAUGGGUCUUAAACUUCUUUUGUAAGGGAGCAAUAAGUCUUACGUGUAGGAUGAUGAGAGUACCUUACGAAUAAGCAUCGGCUAACUCCGUG
Molecule: ribosomal RNA, 489 nt
Filed under: uncultured bacterium
Lineage: Bacteria
Description: bacterial SSU rRNA
Rfam family: Bacterial small subunit ribosomal RNA
Source: RNAcentral